Molecule: ribosomal RNA, 831 nt
Filed under: uncultured bacterium
Lineage: Bacteria
Description: bacterial SSU rRNA
Rfam family: Bacterial small subunit ribosomal RNA
Source: RNAcentral
GAACGGGUGAGUAACACGUGGGCAACCUGCCCAAAAGAGGGGGAUAACACUUGGAAACAGGUGCUAAUACCGCAUAACCAUAGUUACCGCAUGGUAACUAUGUAAAAGGUGGCUAUGCUACCGCUUUUGGAUGGGCCCGCGGCGCAUUAGCUAGUUGGUGGGGUAAAGGCUUACCAAGGCGAUGAUGCGUAGCCGAACUGAGAGGUUGAUCGGCCACAUUGGGACUGAGACACGGCCCAAACUCCUACGGGAGGCAGCAGUAGGGAAUCUUCCACAAUGGGCGAAAGCCUGAUGGAGCAACGCCGCGUGGGUGAAGAAGGUCUUCGGAUCGUAAAACCCUGUUGUUAGAGAAGAAAGUGCGUGAGAGUAACUGUUCACGUUUCGACGGUAUCUAACCAGAAAGCCACGGCUAACUACGUGCCAGCAGCCGCGGUAAUACGUAGGUGGCAAGCGUUAUCCGGAUUUAUUGGGCGUAAAGGGAACGCAGGCGGUCUUUUAAGUCUGAUGUGAAAGCCUUCGGCUUAACCGGAGUAGUGCAUUGGAAACUGGGAGACUUGAGUGCAGAAGAGGAGAGUGGAACUCCAUGUGUAGCGGUGAAAUGCGUAGAUAUAUGGAAGAACACCAGUGGCGAAAGCGGCUCUCUGGUCUGUAACUGACGCUGAGGUUCGAAAGCGUGGGUAGCAAACAGGAUUAGAUACCCUGGUAGUCCACGCCGUAAACGAUGAAUGCUAAGUGUUGGAGGGUUUCCGCCCUUCAGUGCUGCAGCUAACGCAAUAAGCAUUCCGCCUGGGGAGUACGANCGCAAGGUUGAAACUCAAAGGAAUUGACGGG